This 278-nucleotide ribosomal RNA is filed under the name uncultured bacterium. Its description in RNAcentral is "partial 16S ribosomal RNA". It matches the Rfam family "Bacterial small subunit ribosomal RNA", at positions 506 to 784 of the family's 1533-position model. The record is from RNAcentral.
UGCCGCCGCCGCGGUAAGACGGAGGGUGCAAACGUUGUUCGGAAUCACUGGGCACAAAGCGAACGUAGGCGGCGCACUAAGUCAUGUGUGAAAGCCCCCGGCUCAACCGGGGAACUGCACCUGAUACUGGUGUGCUCGAGGAUGGUUGGGGUGAGUGGAACUCCUGGUGGAGCGGUGAAAUGCGUAGAUAUCAGGAGGAACACCGGUGGCGAAAGCGACUCACUGGGCCGUCUCUGACGCUAAGGUGCGAAAGCUAGGGUAGCGAACGGGAUUAGAUA